UCUGCGUCGCCAUCCCGGCCCUGCUGGACCCCGGGGUCAGUAGGAAGCCGCGGGGUGGUGGCGAGAGAGGACCCAGGUGUCCUGGCAGUGGGCGCCGCGGGGCACACGCUGGGCCAAGGUGCAGGCGGCCAGGGUGGGAGACUGUUCGCCCCGCCCUGAGUCCUCCUCUCUUGCUUCUCCACCUGUUCGGGAGUUGGAGAUGUGCACCUAAAGGAGGCGCAUCUGGGGACGGACACAUCUGGCACUGAGGCCCUCGCCACCUGCCUCGCCACCUGGCGACCCUGACCCCACCACACUGCCUUGAGAGUCGCUCAAAAGUAGGGCCCCAGGGCUCGCAGCAGCAUGGGCACCGAGAAAGAAAGCCCAGAGCCCGACUGCCAGAAACAGUUCCAGGCUGCAGUGAGCGUCAUCCAGAACCUGCCCAAGAACGGUGAGGCUGCGGGGACUCGCAUUUGGACUCGCAUUCAGGACGCCUGGGGUCUGACUCUGAAGAAAGAAUGGUCCUGAUCACUGCAGUUUUUGCAGACAAGCCCCUGCCUGGGCUGUCCUGGGGGUUCCCUCCGCUUCCUAUCCUAGUCCAGAUGCCCUGGGUGGGACUCAUCCCCACCUCUGCCCUUUCCAAGCAGGGUUCUCCCGCCCCUCCGCCCCUUGGAGCUGGGAGUGAUGCUUUGCCCUGGCUUCCCAACUCUCUGCCCAGGUUCUUACCGCCCCUCCUAUGAAGAGAUGCUGCGAUUCUACAGUUACUACAAGCAGGCCACCAUGGGGCCCUGCCUGGUCCCCCGGCCCGGGUUCUGGGACCCCAUUGGACGAUAUAAGUGGUGAGCUCCCUGCUGGCUGGGCAAACAAGCCUCAGCUGUCAAGCAGCCCUCUCACAGCCCUCUGCCCCCAGGGACGCCUGGAACAGUCUGGGCAAGCUGAGCAGGGAGGAGGCCAUGUCUGCCUACAUCACUGAAAUGAAACUGGUGGCACAGAAGGUGAUCGACACAGUGCCCCUGGGUGAGGUGGCAGAGGACAUGUUUGGUUACUUCGAGCCCCUGUACCAGGUGAUCCCUGACAUGCCGAGGCCCCCAGAGACCUUCCUGAGAAGGGUCACAGGUUGGAAAGAGCAGGUUGUGAAUGGAGAUGUUGGGGCUGUUUCAGAGCCUCCCUGCCUCCCCAAGGAACUGGCACCCCCAAGCCCAGCUUCCCUCUGGGCAGUAACUCUACCAACCCCUCCACAGAGUCCCAUUCACCCAGGGACCUGGACUCCGAGGUUUUCUGUGAUUCCCUGGAGCAGCUGGAGCCUGAGCUGGUUUGGACAGAGCAGCGGACAGCAUCUGGAGGAAAGCGUGAUCCCAGGAACAGCCCCGUGCCCCCCACAAAGAAAGAGGGGUUGCGGGGCAGCCCGCCGGGGCCCCAGGAGUUGGACGUGUGGCUGCUGGGGACAGUUCGAGCACUACAGGAGAGCAUGCAGGAGGUGCAGGCGAGGGUGCAGAGCCUGGAGAGCAUGCCCCCGCCCCCUGAGCAGAGGCCGCAGCCCAGGCCCAGUGCUCGGCCAUGGCCCCUUGGGCUCCCGGGGCCCGCGCUGCUCUUCUUCCUCCUGUGGCCCUUCGUCGUCCAGUGGCUCUUCCGAAUGUUUCGGACCCAAAAGAGGUGACUGUCAGUGGAGGAGUCUCUGCAGCCAACUGAGACCAUCUUGCUGUGCCCUGAGCCUUCCUAGGGUUUAGAAGAACAGCAUUCAAAAUUCCCCCUCCUGUCAGUGUUUGCCUUCGCACCUCCUCCCCUAAAGCAGCGCGGGGGGCAAAUAAGACCCCACCCCUCCCUGCAGCUUCACAGGGACGCUUCCUUCCCUCCCCGCAACCACCCCAGGCUCCCCUGGGAGGCUGCAGUUGUGGUACACGACCCCGGUGCUGGGUUGGCCGUGACUCGGGGGCGGGGCUAUCGGGUCUCAGCCCCUGCCCUCCCCAGUCUCUGGGUCACCUGACUCUUCCCACCCCUGCUUCUCCCCGAGGAGGUUCAGCUCUUGAGCAAGUUGGGACUUGGGCGGGGGCCUGGAAGAAUGAUUGGCUGGGAGGCCGCGGGAGGGAGGCCAGGAGGCCCGGACCAGUUGGGAGGAGUGAGCAGGCCCCGGGGGAGGGGGAUGAGCGCAGUUUGCUCGCUUUCCUCCCCUGCCGGCCCCCUCCGCCCCCACACACACUCGGGAAGUCUUCAUUGAAGAUUCACUUACAAACGAAUGUUUCACUAAAUAAAAGAAAACCAUAA
Molecule: small RNA, 2241 nt
Filed under: Pan troglodytes (chimpanzee)
Lineage: Eukaryota; Metazoa; Chordata; Mammalia; Primates; Hominidae
Description: retained intron
Source: RNAcentral